UGGAGUCGAAGCUCAUGCCUGAGUCGUCGUCUUCAUAUGGAUCCUGGGCAUCCUGGAAUUGUGCAAGAUUGUCUUCUUCAUCUGAUCUAGCAGAAUUAUUAUCUGUAGUAUUUAUUUCUGGCACAGCUCUGUCUAAAUUAGUGGGUUGUUCGUCUGAUUGUUUAUCCAUGUAUUUAUCUUGUGUCUGUUUGCUGAAGAAUCUGUCUAGAGUCUGUUUAAUUAUUGUCUCUAUUGUCUCAUUUUUUCUCUUAGAUAUUAGAGUCUUCUUUAAAGUCCUAUGUCCAGAUUUCGUUAAUUUAGCUUUUGAUGAAGAACACCCUUCAUCCUCACUUUUUGGCAAAGUGACAGNN
RNAcentral lists this long non-coding RNA (350 nucleotides) under Capsicum annuum. RNAcentral's name for it is "long non-coding RNA (CANN_LNC019403)". The record is from RNAcentral. Lineage: Eukaryota; Viridiplantae; Streptophyta; Magnoliopsida; Solanales; Solanaceae.